CCCUCGCCCCUUCAGCUCGUUUCUUCUUGCUGCCCUGGCGGGGGCCCUGAUUGCCAAGGCCAUGGUUGAGUCCUCGUCCAGUGCCUACCGCGGGCAGAGCUUACAGGGACGUCUGCCUCCCUCAGGUACCUCCUGCCCCAGGCCCAGGUCGUGGGAGCUCCCCACCCCUCCAGAUCCACCAUCCCAGAGCCUUCUCCUCACUGCAACAUAUUGGGAUCCAUCGGAGGGUCGUUUGCGGGGAGAAGGAGUUCCAGUAUGGAGGACAACCACAGCAGGAUGGACAGACAAAAGUAGUAAGGCCUGCUCCCGCCCAGCAGAACUUUAAAUUAGCCUUGGGGAAACAGGACAUGAAGAGGUGGCUGAAUGCUUACUGUGUGCUAGGCCUCGUAAUGAAGUGUCAUUUAUCCUCACCACAGCCCAGUGAGGCUGGUGCUGUCGUCCCCAUUUUACAGAUGAAGUGAGCACAGAGGGCUAAAGUGGUUUGUUCAAGGGCACAGAGGUAGGAAGAGUGGAACCACGUUCAAGCCCAGUAGCCUACUUCCUCAGAACCACCCUGUGGCUGGAGCGCAAGGGGUAAAGCAGGGAGGGGCUGUUCUCCAAAGGACUGGCUACUGUGACCAAAGAGAAGGGAGAAUGGAUGCUGGAGGCAAGCCAGGGGACACUCCUAGCAGCAGUCCCAGGAGAUAGCUGCCGUCGCUGCCCUUGUUUUAUAAAGGCAGAGGGUGAGGCUUACAGAGUUUGUCACUGAUCCAAGUCCAUGGGGGACCAUGUGGCAGAGCCAGAAGUUUAAGCCCGACCUGUUGGCCUCCAGGCCCCUGCCUCUUCACCUAAGCGCAGUGACAGCCUGGAGGCAGGGGAGCCUGAGGAGGGGCGGUGGCAAGUGGGGAGAGCACUCCUGCGACUGGGGACUGGGGAGCACCAACGGAAGCAGAGUCUUUGGGUAAGGAUGUGGGAGACAAGGACGUCAGAGCCACACUUACAGGCGCGGGGGUCUGGGGGUCAGGCUGAGGAGUAGGACGGCCCAAGAGUUAGUCAAAGUGUCUAAGGGAGGCUGGGCUGGUUGGGAGCACUUUUGUGAACGAGCCAGAGGGACACCCUGUGUCUGCCGGCACCUUCCAGAGCUGAGGAAUGACGGAUAAAAGUAGGGCACUGAAAGGCCCCUCUGACAGCCUUGCAUAGGCAGGACUAGAGGGGCUGAAUGGAGGCCAGGAGACAGGGAGGUGGAGGGUUCAAGAAGAGGUUGGGCCGGUCCUGACACCUGGGCAGUGGGGGAGCAGCAGCGAUGGGUGACAGCUGGGGACGGGAGGGGGGCAGUCUGGGUGCUGGCAGCAGGCAGCAGGCGGCCGGGGGGUGUUCACAACGGUGGGAACUUGGAAAUAAGAGAUUUGGUUGGGGGUGGAGGAUACAGAGUUAGGGGACAGCGCAGCUGGGCUGGGGCCAGCGCUGCCAGGGAGGCACAUGUGGACAGGGACGGGCAGUGGUUGUCAAAAUGGACUGUUGGAGAGGGGCCACCUGGUACCUUCUCUGUGCUGGCCGGGCACUUUCUGGUCCCUUGGAGUAUGCUCUUCACACCUCCGCCCAUAGUUUGCAUAGGAGGAAAUCGCAGCUCAGCAUGGUUGAGACACCUGCUUAAGAUCACACGGUGGCAGAGGAGGAACUCUACUGGGGUCGUCUGACUGAAGUCUGUAAUCCUUCCUUGACCCUGCUUCUUAGAAAGAUUUCUAAACUUGCUUUCAAAGCAAGUUCCUAUCAGCAACUCAGCAGGCCUGGUGGGGCAGCCGCCCAUCCUACAGAUGAGGCCACUGAGGCUCUGAGGGGUUGGUGCCUGCCCAGCUCACAGGAGGUACAGAAUAAGUCUGCAGGGGAGCUGGGGCCAAGCCCCAGGUGUCUCCCACCCACCAAAUCAGCUCCGGGUUCUCUGAAAGCUGAGGCUUGGGUGUGCCCGCAGGGUGCCAGGAGUCCAGGCCCGGUUUUGCAUCAGGCCCUGCUCAGAAGGUGUUUCCUCCUUCUCGGGGCAGCUCCUCCGGGCUGCUGGUUGAGUCAGCCUUAGUCCCUUUCUGCUCUGCUCCCCAAGUUCAGCUCGGAAACUCGGCUGCCAGGAGUGCAGGAGAGCCCAGGUCACCCUGCGAAGGUGUCUGAUCCAUACUGGACCCCUACAGGUAACACACCUCAGGGCCAGGGUUCCCUGCCAGUGUCCCAAGGAGCAGACACUGCCACCUGGUAUCCUGGGUACCCUCUGGGGCCUUGGGGGUUGGGGGAGAGGGGAGUGGGUCUGGGACUAGAACAUAUUGACCAAUGGGUCUGUCCCAUAGUAUUGAACCGGAGUGGGGAGGACCGGACACUGGAUUGUGCCUCUAGAAGGACAGAAACUAUAGGGAGGGGGUGCUGCUGGGGACCCUAGGCUCAGAUGCCCACAGCGCAGCCCAGGCGGACCUGCAGGACAUCCUCCACCGCUAUACUCCUACACACGCCGCCCCCGGGGUCCCCGGGGCCCCAGAGCACACAGCACGACACAGCCCAGACACACAUCCAGCAGAGGAAGAAGGACACAGGGCACAUACCACACCGUGCUGUCACCCAGCAAGUCACUGAACACAGACAACAGUCACCCACGCGGCGUCAUGUCAUGACAUGGGCCACCGACACACAGGCAGGGAUACGAUAUUCACACCCACAAAACAAACAGCCUCAGAGACUCCACCGGGUGCAGAGCUGUGGGCCGUACUGAGACUCGCAAGGGCACAACAUCACACAAGUGGGGACCCCGGGCCACAGAAGAGCCCCCCACUGUGCGUGUGCAGCACCCAGCACUUGGAACGCAGCAGAUGUUCGGGAAGUAUUGCUAAUACGGGGCACACGGGCAUUCACACAGGAUUAUACACGGUACUCUGUAAAGACAGCAACCCCAAGCCCGCGGGUUGCGGGGGCAGCAGAGGGAGAAGGCGCUCUCGGGCUUGGGCACUGACUCAGCAGCGGGCACAAGCCAGGACUCGCCUGCCAGAGAACCCUCUUCCCAUCUCAGGCCUGCCUGGUGCCUGGACCUGGCCUGGGAAGGGAUGGGAGGGGCAGCAGGGGAGGAGAGACCGCCCAGGGGGCUCAGGCCAUGCCUCCGCUCUGGCCACGGCUCAGUCACGGGCCCCUUGCCACGUCCACAUGCCCCUCGGAGCUGGGCAAAUGUUUUCCUUCCGGAGUCACCGUGGUACCUGAGCAGCCUGAGCCACUUUGCAGCGCUUGGCCUCCACCGCCAGAUCCAGGUCCUGGGCCAGGGGAAGGGGGAGCAUCCAUGUGGCCAGAGCGGAGGGGCCCAGGGGCUGCAGGCAAGAGGGCAGGGCUGGCAACAGGGGCAUCCCUGGCUGGAGGCCUCAGCGAGAGUGGGUACAGUGGUUACCUCAGCGGGGAGGAAGCGGGGGUGUGGGCCGGGGAGGAGGUUGCCUCAGACAGGAAGGCCAAAUGGGCCAGGGCAGGGUGGAGGUGAAGGGUGGAGGGAGGGAACCCAUAUUGGGAGGUUCCCAGGGAGGGGGCGGUGAGCAGAUAGGUAUGUGUGCCUGUGUGUCUGGGCGUGUGUGUGUGUGUGUGUGUGCCUUCCCCAUGUGUGUACAGGGAUAUGUCUGCAUUCAAUUCAACUUCAACCAACUGUCUGUUGUGGGCAACAUAUGGGCUUUUGGGGUGAGGUCCUGUCCCUGUCUUCAGGGAGCUCACAAUCCAGUUGGUGGAGGGGCAAUGUGCGUGCAAAAGUCAGUGUGAUUUGUGUGUAUCUCGGGUCAUGUUUUUGCCCCGAGUUAUACAUUCUGUGGGGCCUCGUGUGCAGGUUUCAGAAUAUGUCAGGCACAUCCCCUGGUGUGGGCAUGGGUCUGGGACUAAGACCGCAUAGGGUCCUUGGUGGGGGAUGGGUGCGCAUGCGUCUAUCUCUGUAGGUAUUGGUGCACCCAUGUGAUCAGGUGGCCAUCUCACUGUGGGUGCACAUCUUCAAGUGUGUCCGUAUGUCCGUGAGCCAGUGUGUGUGCGGGUCCAUGGGUCCAUGGGUGUAUCUCAUGCCACCUUGAGCUCAGCCUUCCUGGAGUCGUACGGUGCCCACCACCUGGGCAUAUAUUUGGGCAGAAAAGAGCAGCCAGCUCCAGGAUGUGCCCUGUAUUUGGGCAGGGCUUGACCUGCCCCCUUGAUCGCCCCCAGGUCGACAUGUGUGCCCAGCUGGGGCACUGCCCCAGCUGAUGCCCCAGAGGGGCCACCCAUCUCAAGUGGGGCUCCGGGCCCUGCCCGGCCUCCUCAUGGCGCACGAGCCACAGCCUGAGGCUGAUGGAUUGUUGGACCUCAGCUUCCUGACAGACGAGGAGCAGGAGGCCAUUGCCGACGUCCUGAAGCGAGAUGCCCACCUUCGCCAGUUGGAGGAGGGCCGGGUCAGGUGAGGCAGGGCAGGGGAGCCUGGGAGGAUGGGGCCUCGGGCACUGGGAGCCCAAUUGCGCCCCUGCUGCCUCCCGAUGUGUGGCCUGUCAGAUAUCUGGGUGGUUCCUGUUUUUGCCCGUUGGUCACUUCCGCCCUUAACCAGCGCAGCUCUCCACCUCACCCAAGGU
Molecule: non-coding RNA, 4568 nt
Organism: Leptonychotes weddellii (Weddell seal)
Lineage: Eukaryota; Metazoa; Chordata; Mammalia; Carnivora; Phocidae
Source: RefSeq, a predicted model, not a curated record